Molecule: ribosomal RNA, 259 nt
Filed under: uncultured bacterium
Lineage: Bacteria
Description: partial 16S ribosomal RNA
Rfam family: Bacterial small subunit ribosomal RNA
Source: RNAcentral
UACGGAGGGUGCGAGCGUUGUCCGGAAUCAUUGGGCGUAAAGGGCGCGUAGGUGGCCCGGUCAGUUCGUGGUGAAAGCGCGGGGCUCAACCCUGCGUCGGCCAUGAAUACUGCCGCGGCUGGAGCACUGUAGAGGCAGGCGGAAUUCCGGGUGUAGCGGUGGAAUGCGUAGAGAUCCGGAAGAACACCGGUGGCGAAGGCGGCCUGCUGGGCCAGUUGCUGGACACUGAGGCGCGACAGCGUGGGGAGCAAACAGGGAU